RNAcentral lists this ribosomal RNA (402 nucleotides) under uncultured prokaryote. RNAcentral's name for it is "bacterial SSU rRNA". It matches the Rfam family "Bacterial small subunit ribosomal RNA", at positions 355 to 774 of the family's 1533-position model. The record is from RNAcentral.
UGGGGAAUCUUGCACAAUGGGGGAAACCCUGAUGCAGCGACGCCGCGUGAGCGAUGAAGCCCUUCGGGGUGUAAAGCUCUUUCGGCAGGAACGAUAAUGACGGUACCUGAAGAAGAAGCUGCGGCUAACUACGUGCCAGCAGCCGCGGUAAUACGUAGGCAGCAAGCGUUGUUCGGAGUUACUGGGCGUAAAGAGUGUGUAGGCGGUUUCGUAAGUUUGGUGUGAAAUCUCCCGGCUUAACUGGGAGGGUGCGCCGAAUACUGCGAGGCUCGAGUGCCGGAGAGGUAAGCGGAAUUCCUGGUGUAGCGGUGAAAUGCGUAGAUAUCAGGAGGAACACCGGUGGUGUAGACGGCUUACUGGACGGCCACUGACGCUGAGACACGAAAGCGUGGGUAGCAAACA